CUCGGAUCAGGUGGGGAUACCCGCUGAACUUAAGCAUAUCAAUAAGCGGAGGA
RNAcentral lists this ribosomal RNA (53 nucleotides) under Chaenotheca nitidula. RNAcentral's name for it is "partial large subunit ribosomal RNA". Lineage: Eukaryota; Fungi; Ascomycota; Coniocybomycetes; Coniocybales; Coniocybaceae. The record is from RNAcentral.